Molecule: long non-coding RNA, 1405 nt
Filed under: Astyanax mexicanus (Mexican tetra)
Lineage: Eukaryota; Metazoa; Chordata; Actinopteri; Characiformes; Acestrorhamphidae
Description: lncRNA (ENSAMXG00005015816.1)
Source: RNAcentral
UCUAGAUCCAUUUUAGAAUGGUACAUAUUUUCAUUCUUUAAUCCAGACCUCUUUUUGUCUCUACAGGCAGCUGUGGAAAGUUCUUGUGGGGAUCCAGCUCUCCCGACUCCAUCCCUCUCCCUCCAGGCCUCGUCUUACCCCAACGUUCCACAAUCUGGAGGUUUAACAAGCUUAGUCCCUCUGCAUGCUUUACCCUUCCCCGGACUAACUUACGCCAGCAAAACGUCUGGACACGCCCAGAUCUGCAAAGACUCCAUACUAACCAGUCCAGGACCCGGAACCUUCCAGUAUGGUCUCACACAUGAUGGAAGUCAGAUUCACGCAGAAGGUGCCAACGCUCAGAGAAAACUGCACUGAAGAGAGGAACCGCGGUUCUCUAUUCUUUAAAAUAAUGUCCUCAUGAAUGAACUGGACUCUAAAGUGGUGAGACCACAACGGUGUUAAAGACUGAGUCAAGUGACCGCCCACCUUAAAUACAUAAUUACACAUUUCACCAUUUCUACUUUAAAUACAUCAACAACAGAAACUGAAAAGUGUUACACUAAGCUGAUGGAGAAGCUACACGCGUGAAAAUAACCCAGUUCAGACUAUGUGCUACUAUUACUACUAAUCCAGACUAGGCAUGUGACCAUCAGUGCAUCAAGAAUGUGGUAGUGGUGCCUUUAAUAAUAUUCAUGAUUAUUAAUAACAAUAAUAAUAUUUUCUUUUCCUUUUUGAGUUUUGUCUUUACUGUAAUAUCUGCACUUAAGGACUUUUGAAGCUGAUGCUUUCUUCUUCUUCGUCUUCUUCUGCCUGAGAUCUUUUAAAUGUUUCUCCUUUGAGUUCUUUUUGUCUUUACUGUAAUAUCUGCACUUAAGAACGUAGGCUUAAGGCACUUUGUUCUUUUUACCCUUUCCUGUCUAAAAUUCUCUUACUUUUCACAAUCCUUCUUAUUUUUUUAGUUCCUGCCUAUCAGCUCCUAACAUUAUGCUUUAAACAGCAUUCCAUGUACUUUCCAAAGACCUUGUAGAGCAGUAUGUGUACGAGACUGAUCUCCUCAGCUUUAGACAGUUAACUCUUUAGCUGAUUAGUUUUUCUAUCUUAAUUUCUUUCAUCAGUUGGCACUGAUUUAUGUUUUAUGUGACAUGGACUGAAGGUAAUUUACAAAAUGAACGCAAAGCGCUCACAAUGAAAAGAGUCUUAAUUAAUGGACGGCUGAAUUAGUUUAGCUUUUUUCCUGAAAUGUAAAAUGCCAUUUAUUUAUUGUCUCAGGGAUUCUUAAGGAAGAGGGUGUUGCAUUAAGCACAAACUUGGGAGUAAUAGCACUGCAUGUAGUUUUGUAUGUCCUAAAAUGUGACUGAGCUAAGCUGAUAAGAUGGUAUUGUUUAUAAAUAAAAUAGGCAAACAAUAUGGAUGGCCUGAUCUU